RNAcentral lists this ribosomal RNA (429 nucleotides) under Pseudomonadota bacterium. RNAcentral describes it as "Proteobacteria bacterium partial 16S ribosomal RNA". It matches the Rfam family "Bacterial small subunit ribosomal RNA", at positions 355 to 776 of the family's 1533-position model. Lineage: Bacteria; Pseudomonadati; Pseudomonadota. The record is from RNAcentral.
UGGGGAAUAUUGGACAAUGGGCGAAAGCCUGAUCCAGCCAUGCCGCGUGUGUGAAGAAGGUCUUCGGAUUGUAAAGCACUUUAAGUUGGGAGGAAGGGCAGUAAGCGACUACCUUGCUGUUUUGACGUUACCGACAGAAUAAGCACCGGCUAACUCUGUGCCAGCAGCCGCGGUAAUACAGAGGGUGCAAGCGUUAAUCGGAAUUACUGGGCGUAAAGUGCGCGUAGGUGGUUCGUUAAGUUGAAUGUGAAAGCCCCGGGCUCAACCUGGGAACUGCAUACAAAACUGGCGAGAUAGAGUAGGGCAGAGGGGGGUGGAAUUUCCUGGGUAGCGGGGAAAUGCGUAGAUAUAGGAAGGAACACCAGUGGCGAAGGCGACCACCGGGGAUCAUACUGACAAUGAGGUGCGAAAGGGUGGGGAGCAAAAAGG